This is a long non-coding RNA of Thalassophryne amazonica, 554 nucleotides long. RefSeq lists it as uncharacterized. Lineage: Eukaryota; Metazoa; Chordata; Actinopteri; Batrachoidiformes; Batrachoididae. The record is from RefSeq and is a predicted model, not a curated record. The transcript has 2 exons.
UAAACUUUAAAUUUUGCUGAUCUCUUGCCAGUUGUACUGACAAUGGGUAUCUGCAGACUUUGUCACAUAAAACCUUGCUCCCUUGCUGCUGAUCAUCUCAAUACUGCUGUUUACUGUUCACAUGUAGCUUGAAUCUUGCAGACACGCCGCGUCGUUGUUUCUGAGGAUGUGUACAACUGAUGCAUUAAACACACACAGAAUAUGCUAGGCAGUCAUCAUGCAGAUGCAAAUGCAAAGUAAAAAGCAAGUACUCUCAUUAUAUUUGUGUGACAACCACCGGUGCUGAAAAAUGAAGCCAAUGCAGAAGUGCUUGCAGUUCCUCAAAGAGCCACUAGAAGCAGGUUGCAAACGCAAGUCACUCCCUAUGGAGUGUCACUGUUAAAAUCUCCAACUUUACAAUGAAAAUAAACAUAUUUACAGUAUGAUACAACAAAAAAUCUUUUUGGUCUAUAUAGCUAGUUUCCCCUAGCUGUGUAUGUGUGUUUUGGUGCUCAGUGACCACACCCCCAAAUUUACAGAACUUUAUGGCAUAACAUGUCUUAAUCUAAGAGAUU